RNAcentral lists this transfer RNA (75 nucleotides) under Brevibacillus halotolerans. Its description in RNAcentral is "tRNA-Thr". It matches the Rfam family "tRNA". Rfam says of the family: Transfer RNA (tRNA) molecules are approximately 80 nucleotides in length. Their secondary structure includes four short double-helical elements and three loops (D, anti-codon, and T loops). Further hydrogen bonds mediate the characteristic L-shaped molecular structure. tRNAs have two regions of fundamental functional importance: the anti-codon, which is responsible for specific mRNA codon recognition, and the 3' end, to which the tRNAs corresponding amino acid is attached (by aminoacyl-tRNA synthetases). tRNAs cope with the degeneracy of the genetic code in two manners: having more than one tRNA (with a specific anti-codon) for a particular amino acid; and 'wobble' base-pairing, i.e. permitting non-standard base-pairing at the 3rd anti-codon position. Lineage: Bacteria; Bacillati; Bacillota; Bacilli; Caryophanales; Paenibacillaceae. The record is from RNAcentral.
UGCUCCUGUAGCUCAGUCGGUAGAGCGUUUCCAUGGUAAGGAAGAGGUCGCAGGUUCGAUUCCUGUCGGGAGCAU